CCUACGGGAGGCAGCAGUGAGGAAUUUUCCGCAAUGGGCGAAAGCCUGACGGAGCAAUGCCGCGUGGAGGAGGAAGGCCUGUGGGUCGUAAACUCCUUUUCUCAGAGAAGAAGUUCUGACGGUAUCUGAGGAAUAAGCAUCGGCUAACUCUGUGCCAGCAGCCGCGGUAAUACAGGGGAUGCAAGCGUUAUCCGGAAUUAUUGGGCGUAAAGCGUCCUGAGGUGGCUUACCCAGUCGACUGUGAAAGCUCAAGGCUUAACCUUGAAACGGCAGUCGAAACUUGUAAGCUUGAGUACGGUAGGGGCAGAGGGAAUUCCCGGAGGAGAGGUGAAAUUCGUAGAUAUCGGGAGGAAGGCCAAAGGCGAAAGCACUCUGCUGGGCCGAUUACUGACACUGACAGACGAAAGCUAGGGGAGCGAAAGGGAUUAGAUACCCCUGUAGUCCUAGCCGUAAACGAUGGAUACUAAGUGUUGCGCGACUCAAAACGUGCAGUGCUGCAGCUAACGCGGUAAGUAUCCCGCCUGGGGAGUAUGCCCGCAAGGGUGAAACUCAAAGGAAUUGACGG
Molecule: ribosomal RNA, 565 nt
Filed under: uncultured bacterium
Lineage: Bacteria
Description: bacterial SSU rRNA
Rfam family: Bacterial small subunit ribosomal RNA
Source: RNAcentral